AAAAAAAAAAAAAAAACAUGAAAAGCAAUGCAACAAUAUUAGCCAAUAUUAUACAUCUCAAAAUUUUUUUGCCGCGAUCUAUCAAAAUGUUAACCAAUUGAGCACUUGUUGGAUUCAAAAAUUUGACUAUUGAUUGAUUCAUGAAGUACUUCAAAUCUAAUCUGAGGAGAUGCAGGUGGAACUUCAUGGGAAAAAGAUAUAUAUAAGCCAACCAUCACAGCAUUUGACCUAAUUCCCCAGCACAGCUUGGCUUUGAAAAUACAAUCAUCGAGGUUGUCUCUUGGAAAGAGGCAGGAGAGCAAGAAGAAUCUUUUUUCUUGGUCCCUGCAAUUCAAACAUCCUUAAUUAAAAACAGAACAGACAAUACAACAACAACGCCUUAAUCCCAAACUAGUUCGGGUUGGCCUUCACUAAAAACAAUCUAGCAAGAAUUUUAUAACUGCAACAAAUGCAAUAAUAUUCACAUCAAACAUAUUUAAGAAGAAUUAAGAGUUGUGACAUCCUGCCAAUAAGUUACACCACAUGCCUAUAUCUCUUUCUUCAACAAGGAAAAACACAUGAAACUAGAACAUUGGAAAUUUAGUUGACUAAAAGAAAGCCUUUAUUUUGUUAAGGUUGUAAAUUUGAAAUAGUCUUAGUGCCACAAUAAGGCACCAUAACCCUACAGUGUCUCGUUUCAGUCUUCACUUUAGUCAGACAACAUAUGCUCAGAAGAAGAAAAAAAAACCCUAGGGCCAAUUGCUUAAUGUUCAAGUAGUUUGUCUUGUAAUAUAAGAGAUAAAGAGUUCAAAAAAUUUCUGAUACACCGAAAAAGGGAAAAAGGAAGAAGAGAAAUCCACUAAGUAUACUCACUUGAAUAUAUAGUUUAUUGAUACAUCCGAAAAAAGCCAUUAUGAAUGGCUGCAUUAAAUUGAAAAAUCAAACUAAAAUUGAGAACGAUAGACUUCUUGUCAUCACAGAAACUUACCACCUAAAUGGUGAGAUGAAUAAUGAUUUUUUUUUUUAAAUAAAGAAACUAAAUUAAUUCCUUUUAACUUUUCACAGUAUGCUGAUUGCCAAAUUUCUAAGAGUUAGAGCACUGAAGCAAAUAAAUGAAUAUAAAUAAAUUAGAAAAUCAUGCAUGCUUCAAUAAUUUAGUACUCAAGGUUUAAAUUUCAUUAGACAUCAAUAUCUGAGAUGCAGAAGGUUAAAGGUAAUAAAGUAAAUAAGAACUAAAAAGCGAGUUCAACAGUAGAAGUGCAAGCCAACACCAUGCUUUUUU
Molecule: unclassified non-coding RNA, 1261 nt
Filed under: Hevea brasiliensis (rubber tree)
Lineage: Eukaryota; Viridiplantae; Streptophyta; Magnoliopsida; Malpighiales; Euphorbiaceae
Source: RNAcentral